CGCGGGAAAUCUUACCGGGUCCGGACACACUGAGGAUUGACAGGCAAUAUAUUAGCAUAAAGAUUCGUCUUUAGCGCUAAUUGUUAAAUAUGCUAGUCCUUUCAUGAUUAUGUGAUAGGUGGUGCAUGGCCGUUCUUAGUUCGUGGAGUGAUCUGUCUGCUUAAUUGCGUUUCACUAAGGGCCCAUAAAUUCAAGGUAUGUUAGCAAAUGCUGCUCUAUUGACCCCUAAUAGGCUUAACUGUCUUUAGCGCGUGUCUCUACGAGUUCUUUAAAGCACUGCGCAUGCUGUUGGGUCCUGAAAGCAACGAACGUGACCGCAACGUCUUGUUGCCUCUCUAUAAUACCUUCUUAUUUUUAAUAAGAGUAUUUACCUGAGGCUAUUUUAAAACUAGACGGACCGCUGUUUCUUUCUUAAACCAGAGGAAGGUUGCGGCAAUAACAGGUCUGUGAUGCCCUUAGAUGUU
This 464-nucleotide ribosomal RNA is filed under the name Globorotalia inflata. RNAcentral describes it as "bacterial SSU rRNA". It matches the Rfam family "Eukaryotic small subunit ribosomal RNA", at positions 1204 to 1481 of the family's 1831-position model. Lineage: Eukaryota; Foraminifera; Rotaliida; Globorotaliidae. The record is from RNAcentral.